CUUUGGACAAUAGUACAAGGUGCUGCAUGGUUGUCGUCAGCUCGUGCCGUGAGGUGUCGGGUUAAGUCCCAUAACGAGCGCAACCCCUAUCAUUAGUUGCCAUCAGGUCAAGCUGGGGACUCUAAUGAAACUGCCUACGCAAGUAGUGAGGAAGGUGGGGAUGACGUCAAAUCAGCACGGCCCUUACGGUCCAGGGCUACACACGUGCUACAAUGGCCGGUACAAAGGGCAGCUACCUGGUGACAGGAUGCUAAUCUCAAAAGCCGGUCUCAGUUCGGAUCGGAGUCUGCAACCCGACUCCGUGAAGUUGGAUUCGCUAGUAAUCGCGCAUCAGCCAUGGCGCGGUGAAUACGUUCCCGGGCCUU
Molecule: ribosomal RNA, 365 nt
Filed under: uncultured Sphingobacteriales bacterium
Lineage: Bacteria; Pseudomonadati; Bacteroidota; Sphingobacteriia; Sphingobacteriales
Description: bacterial SSU rRNA
Rfam family: Bacterial small subunit ribosomal RNA
Source: RNAcentral